AGGCAGCAGUGGGGAAUAUUGCACAAGUCGGGGGAAACCCUGAUGCAGCCAUGCCGCGUGUGUGAAGAAGGCCUUCGGGUUGUAAAGCACUUUCAGGUAGGGAGGAAGGUAGUGUAGUUAACACCUGCAUUAUUUGACGUUACCUACAGAAGAAGCACCGGCUAACUCCGUGCCAGCAGCCGCGGUAAUACGGAGGGUGCGAGCGUUAAUCGGAAAUUACGUGGGACGUAAAGCGCAUGCAGGCGGCCUGUUAAGUCAGAUGUGAAAGCCCCGGGGCUUAACCUCGGAAUUGCAUUUGAAACUGGCAGGCUAGAGUCUUGUAGAGGGGGUAGAAUUUCAGGUGUAGCGGUGAAAUGCGUAGAGAUCUGAAGGAAUACCAGUGGCGAAGGCGGCCCCCUGGACAAAGACUGACGCUCAGAUGCGAAAGCGUGGGGAGCAAACAGGAUUAGAUACCCUGGUAG
This 461-nucleotide ribosomal RNA is filed under the name uncultured bacterium. RNAcentral's name for it is "bacterial SSU rRNA". It matches the Rfam family "Bacterial small subunit ribosomal RNA", at positions 346 to 793 of the family's 1533-position model. The record is from RNAcentral.